GCGGCAACAGCUCAAAUUUGAAAUCUGGCGCAAGCCCGAGUUGUAAUUUGCAGAGGAUGCUUCUGGGUAGCGGCCGUUCUAAGUUCCUUGGAACAGGACGUCAUAGAGGGUGAGAAUCCCGUACGUGACCGGCACGCACCCUUUCCGUAGCUCCUUCGACGAGUCGAGUUGUUUGGGAAUGCAGCUCUAAAUGGGAGGUAAAUUUCUUCUAAAGCUAAAUACCGGCCAGAGACCGAUAGCGCACAAGUAGAGUGAUCGAAAGAUGAAAAGCACUUUGGAAAGAGAGUUAAAAAGCACGUGAAAUUGUUGAAAGGGAAGCGCCUGCAACCAGACUUCGCGGCAGUGUUCCGCCGGUCUUCUGACCGGUUCACUCUCUGCCGCGAGGCCAUCAUCGUCUGGGGCCGCCGGAUAAGACUGGAAGAAUGUGGCUCCCCUCGGGGAGUGUUAUAGCUUCCGGUGAUGCGGCGCGCCCCGGGCGAGGUCCGCGCUUCGGCAAGGAUGAUGGCGUAAUGGUUGUCGGCGGCCCGUCUUGAAACACGGACCAAGGAGUCUAACAUCUAUGCGAGUGUUCGGGUGUCAAACCCCUACGCGUAAUGAAAGUGAACGGAGGUGGGAACGUUUCGUGCACCAUCGACCGAUCCUGAUGUCCUCGGAUGGAUUUGAGUAAGAGCAUAGCUGUUGGGACCCGAAAGAUGGUGAACUAUGCCUGAAUAGGGUGAAGCCAGAGGAAACUCUGGUGG
RNAcentral lists this ribosomal RNA (740 nucleotides) under Pseudophaeophleospora stonei. Its description in RNAcentral is "eukaryotic LSU rRNA". It matches the Rfam family "Eukaryotic large subunit ribosomal RNA", at positions 98 to 870 of the family's 3401-position model. Lineage: Eukaryota; Fungi; Ascomycota; Dothideomycetes; Mycosphaerellales; Mycosphaerellaceae. The record is from RNAcentral.